RNAcentral lists this ribosomal RNA (506 nucleotides) under uncultured bacterium. Its description in RNAcentral is "partial 16S ribosomal RNA". It matches the Rfam family "Bacterial small subunit ribosomal RNA", at positions 28 to 523 of the family's 1533-position model. The record is from RNAcentral.
GGUGAACGCUGGCGGUAGGCCUAACACAUGCAAGUCGAACGGCAGCACAGGAGAGCUUGCUCUCUGGGUGGCGAGUGGCGGACGGGUGAGGAAUACAUCGGAAUCUACUCUGUCGUGGGGGAUAACGUAGGGAAACUUACGCUAAUACCGCAUACGACCUACGGGUGAAAGCAGGGGAUCUUCGGACCUUGCGCGAUUGAAUGAGCCGAUGUCGGAUUAGCUAGUUGGCGGGGUAAAGGCCCACCAAGGCGACGAUCCGUAGCUGGUCUGAGAGGAUGAGCAGCCACACUGGAACUGAGACACGGUCCAGACUCCUCCGGGAGGCAGCAGUGGGGAUUAUUGGACAAUGGGCGCAAGCCUGAUCCAGCCAUACCGCGUGGGUGAAGAAGGCCUUCGGGUUGUAAAGCCCUUUUGUUGGGAAAGAAAUCCAGCUGGCUAAUACCCGGUUGGGAUGACGGUACCCAAAGAAUAAGCACCGGCUAACUUCGUGCCAGCCGCCGCGGUAA